RNAcentral lists this ribosomal RNA (465 nucleotides) under uncultured bacterium. RNAcentral describes it as "partial 16S ribosomal RNA". It matches the Rfam family "Bacterial small subunit ribosomal RNA", at positions 338 to 795 of the family's 1533-position model. The record is from RNAcentral.
CCUACGGGUGGCAGCAGUAGGGAAUCUUCCACAAUGGGCGAAAGCCUGAUGGAGCAACGCCGCGUGGGUGAAGAAGGUCUUCGGAUCGUAAAACUCUGUUGUUAGAGAAGAAAGAGCGUGAGAGUAACUGUUCACGUUUCGACGGUAUCUAACCAGAAAGCCACGGCUAACUACGUGCCAGCAGCCGCGGUAAUACGUAGGUGGCAAGCGUUAUCCGGAUUUAUUGGGCGUAAAGGGAACGCCGGCGGUCUUUUUAGUCUGAUGUGAAAGCCUUCGGCUUAACCGGAGUAGUGCAUUGGAAACUGGGAGACUUGAGAGCAGAAGAGGAGAGUGGAACUCCAUGUGUAGCGGUGAAAUGCGUAGAUAUAUGGAAGAACACCAGUGGCGAAAGCGGCUCUCUGGUCUGUAACUGACGCUGAGGUUCGAAAGCGUGGGUAGCAAACAGGAUUAGAUACCCCGGUAGUC